GAUGAACGCUAGCGAUAGGCUUAACACAUGCAAGUCGAGGGGCAGCAUGAUCUUAGCUUGCUAAGGUUGAUGGCGACCGGCGCACGGGUGCGUAACGCGUAUGCAACUUGCCUUACAGAGGGGGAUAACCCGUUGAAAGACGGACUAAAACCGCAUACACUUGUAUUAUUGCAUGAUAUUACAAGGAAAUAUUUAUAGCUGUAAGAUAGGCAUGCGUCCCAUUAGCUGGUUGGUGAGGUAACGGCUCACCAAGGCAACGAUGGGUAGGGGAACUGAGAGGUUUAUCCCCCACACUGGUACUGAGACACGGACCAGACUCCUACGGGAGGCAGCAGUGAGGAAUAUUGGUCAAUGGGCGAGAGCCUGAACCAGCCAAGUCGCGUGAAGGAAGACAGUCCUAAGGAUUGUAAACUUCUUUUAUACGGGAAUAACGGGCGAUACGAGUAUUGCAUUGAAUGUACCGUAAGAAUAAGCAUCGGCUAACUCCGUGCCAGCAGCCGCGGUAAUACGGAGGAUGCGAGCGUUAUCCGGAUUUAUUGGGUUUAAAGGGUGCGUAGGUUGUUCGGUAAGUCAGCGGUGAAACCUGAGCGCUCAACGUUCAGCCUGCCGUUGAAACUGCCGGGCUUGAGUUCAGUGGCGGCAGGCGGAAUUCGUGGUGUAGCGGUGAAAUGCAUAGAUAUCACGAGGAACUCCGAUUGCGAAGGCAGCUUGCCAUACUGCGACUGACACCGAAGCACGAAGGCGUGGGUAUCAAACAGG
Molecule: ribosomal RNA, 759 nt
Filed under: uncultured Porphyromonas sp.
Lineage: Bacteria; Pseudomonadati; Bacteroidota; Bacteroidia; Bacteroidales; Porphyromonadaceae
Description: bacterial SSU rRNA
Rfam family: Bacterial small subunit ribosomal RNA
Source: RNAcentral